GGGCGGUUAGCUCAGUUGGUAGAGCAUCUCGUUUACACCGAGGUUGUCGGGGGUUCGAGUCCCUCACCGCCCACCA
RNAcentral lists this transfer RNA (76 nucleotides) under Paracoccus chinensis. RNAcentral's name for it is "tRNA_Val_TAC". It matches the Rfam family "tRNA". From Rfam's summary of the family: Transfer RNA (tRNA) molecules are approximately 80 nucleotides in length. Their secondary structure includes four short double-helical elements and three loops (D, anti-codon, and T loops). The record is from RNAcentral. Lineage: Bacteria; Pseudomonadati; Pseudomonadota; Alphaproteobacteria; Rhodobacterales; Paracoccaceae. RNAcentral also lists the same sequence under 1 other name.